Non-coding RNA from Myotis daubentonii (Daubenton's bat), 731 nucleotides. Lineage: Eukaryota; Metazoa; Chordata; Mammalia; Chiroptera; Vespertilionidae. The record is from the annotation of a RefSeq genome assembly.
GUGGGGGACGAGGACCUCACCUGCAAGACAUGACUCCCAUGUGGCUCUUCCUCUUCCUGCUGUCAGCUCCCAGAUGUGUCCUGUCCCAGGUGCAGCUGCAGGAGUCGGGCCCAGGACUGGUGACGCCCUCACAGACCCUCUCCCUCACCUGCUCUGUCUCUGGAUUCUCCAUCACAACCAGUCCUUACUACUGGAGCUGGAUCCGCCAGCCCCCAGGGAAGGGGCUGGAGUGGAUCGGGUACAUAACUUAUGGUGGGAGCACUAACUACAGCCCUUCCCUCAAGAGCCGAACCUCCAUCUCCAGAGACACGUCCAAGAACCAGUUCUCCCUGCAGCUGAGGUCUGUGACCACCGAGGACACAGCCAUGUAUUACUGUGCAAGAGACACAGUGAGGGGAGCAGCUGCUGGACCCCAGCCUGAGUGUGAGGGAGAGGAGGCAGAGCCACAGGGAUCACAGUGCUUUGGAGGCUUUGAGGUUUGCGAGGACAUGGUGACUGGGGAUCCCAUGACCCAGGUCACACUGCUCCCAGAGGGCAGAGCUGGAGCCCAGAGGCCCAGCGCUGCUGAGGGCGCAGCAGACCCGCUGCAGGUCCCCGUCAGCAUGAGCUCAGCGCAGCCAGACUUUCCCAGCACGUGGACCCCUGGACGCCAUGGGCAGUGCCUGGAGAGCCCUUCUGCAAACAAUGGCCGCCAAGGACUGUUCUCAGUGCGGACCCCGACCCGCUGGUGA